This 79-nucleotide transfer RNA is filed under the name Mesorhizobium sp. B2-3-4. RNAcentral describes it as "tRNA-Cys". The stretch from base 6 to 76 matches the Rfam family "tRNA". Rfam says of the family: Transfer RNA (tRNA) molecules are approximately 80 nucleotides in length. Their secondary structure includes four short double-helical elements and three loops (D, anti-codon, and T loops). Further hydrogen bonds mediate the characteristic L-shaped molecular structure. tRNAs have two regions of fundamental functional importance: the anti-codon, which is responsible for specific mRNA codon recognition, and the 3' end, to which the tRNAs corresponding amino acid is attached (by aminoacyl-tRNA synthetases). tRNAs cope with the degeneracy of the genetic code in two manners: having more than one tRNA (with a specific anti-codon) for a particular amino acid; and 'wobble' base-pairing, i.e. permitting non-standard base-pairing at the 3rd anti-codon position. The record is from RNAcentral. Lineage: Bacteria; Pseudomonadati; Pseudomonadota; Alphaproteobacteria; Hyphomicrobiales; Phyllobacteriaceae.
GGCAAGAUCUGAGGGCGGGACGGUGACGCAUCGGUCUGCAAAACCGACGUAAUGGGUUCAAUUCCCAUUCCGGCCUCCA